Molecule: ribosomal RNA, 945 nt
Filed under: Periconia chengduensis
Lineage: Eukaryota; Fungi; Ascomycota; Dothideomycetes; Pleosporales; Periconiaceae
Description: SSU rRNA
Rfam family: Eukaryotic small subunit ribosomal RNA
Source: RNAcentral
UUGGAUAACCGUGGUAAUUCUAGAGCUAAUACAUGCUAAAAACCCCGACUUCGGGAGGGGUGUAUUUAUUAGAUAAAAAACCAAUGCCCUUCGGGGCUCCUUGGUGAUUCAUAAUAACUUCUCAGAUCGCAUGGCCUUGCGCCGGCGACGGUUCAUUCAAAUUUCUGCCCUAUCAACUUUCGAUGGUAAGGUAUUGGCUUACCAUGGUUUCAACGGGUAACGGGGAAUUAGGGUUCGAUUCCGGAGAGGGAGCCUGAGAAACGGCUACCACAUCCAAGGAAGGCAGCAGGCGCGCAAAUUACCCAAUCCCGACACGGGGAGGUAGUGACAAUAAAUACUGAUACAGGGCUCUUUAGGGUCUUGUAAUUGGAAUGAGUACAAUUUAAACCUCUUAACGAGGAACAAUUGGAGGGCAAGUCUGGUGCCAGCAGCCGCGGUAAUUCCAGCUCCAAUAGCGUAUAUUAAAGUUGUUGCAGUUAAAAAGCUCGUAGUUGAACCUUUGGCCUGGCUGGCGGGUCCGCCUCACCGCGUGCACUCGUCCGGCCGGGCCUUUUCUUCUGGAGAACCGCAUGCCCUUCACUGGGUGUGUUGGGGACCAGGACUUUUACUUUGAAAAAAUUAGAGUGUUCAAAGCAGGCCUUUGCUCGAAUACGUUAGCAUGGAAUAAUAGAAUAGGACGUGCGGUCCUAUUUUGUUGGUUUCUAGGACCGCCGUAAUGAUUAAUAGGGACAGUCGGGGGCAUCAGUAUUCAAUUGUCAGAGGUGAAAUUCUUGGAUUUAUUGAAGACUAACUACUGCGAAAGCAUUUGCCAAGGAUGUUUUCAUUAAUCAGUGAACGAAAGUUAGGGGAUCGAAGACGAUCAGAUACCGUCGUAGUCUUAACCAUAAACUAUGCCGACUAGGGAUCGGGCGGUGUUAUUAUUUUGACUCGCUCGGCACCUUACGA